UGCGUAGAUAUAUGGAAGAACACCAGUGGCGAAGGCGGCUGUCUGGUCUGUAACUGACGCUGAGGCUCGAAAGUAUGGGUAGCAAACAGGAUUAGAUACCCUGGUAGUCCAUACCGUAAACGAUGAAUGCUAAGUGUUGGAGGGUUUCCCCCUUCAGUGCUGCAGCUAACGCAUUAAGCAUUCCGCCUGGGGAGUACGGCCGCAAGGCUGAAACUCAAAGGAAUUGACGGGGGCCCGCACAAGCGGUGGAGCAUGUGGUUUAAUUCGAAGCUACGCGAAGAACCUUACCAGGUCUUGACAUACUAUGCAAAUCUAAGAGAUUAGACGUUCCCUUCGGGGACAUGGAUACAGGUGGUGCAUGGUUGUCGUCAGCUCGUGUCGUGAGAUGUUGGGUUAAGUCCCGCAACGAGCGCAACCCUUAUUAUCAGUUGCCAGCAUUAAGUUGGGCACUCUGGUGAGACUGCCGGUGACAAACCGGAGGAAGGUGGGGAUGACGUCAAAUCAUCAUGCCCCUUAUGACCUGGGCUACACACGUGCUACAAUGGAUGGUACAACGAGUUGCGAACUCGCGAGAGUAAGCUAAUCUCUUAAAGCCAUUCUCAGUUCGGAUUGUAGGCUGCAACUCGCCUACAUGAAGUCGGAAUCGCUAGUAAUCGCGGAUCAGCAUGCCGCG
RNAcentral lists this ribosomal RNA (673 nucleotides) under uncultured Lactobacillus sp. Its description in RNAcentral is "bacterial SSU rRNA". It matches the Rfam family "Bacterial small subunit ribosomal RNA", at positions 687 to 1361 of the family's 1533-position model. Lineage: Bacteria; Bacillati; Bacillota; Bacilli; Lactobacillales; Lactobacillaceae. The record is from RNAcentral.